This 77-nucleotide transfer RNA is filed under the name Bacillus atrophaeus C89. RNAcentral describes it as "tRNA-Met". It matches the Rfam family "tRNA". Rfam says of the family: Transfer RNA (tRNA) molecules are approximately 80 nucleotides in length. Their secondary structure includes four short double-helical elements and three loops (D, anti-codon, and T loops). The record is from RNAcentral. Lineage: Bacteria; Bacillati; Bacillota; Bacilli; Caryophanales; Bacillaceae.
CGCGGGGUGGAGCAGUUCGGUAGCUCGUCGGGCUCAUAACCCGAGGGUCGCAGGUUCAAAUCCUGCCCCCGCAACCA